RNAcentral lists this ribosomal RNA (705 nucleotides) under Lactobacillus delbrueckii subsp. bulgaricus. Its description in RNAcentral is "bacterial SSU rRNA". It matches the Rfam family "Bacterial small subunit ribosomal RNA", at positions 746 to 1449 of the family's 1533-position model. The record is from RNAcentral. Lineage: Bacteria; Bacillati; Bacillota; Bacilli; Lactobacillales; Lactobacillaceae.
CUGAGGCUCGAAAGCAUGGGUAGCGAACAGGAUUAGAUACCCUGGUAGUCCAUGCCGUAAACGAUGAGCGCUAGGUGUUGGGGACUUUCCGGUCCUCAGUGCCGCAGCAAACGCAUUAAGCGCUCCGCCUGGGGAGUACGACCGCAAGGUUGAAACUCAAAGGAAUUGACGGGGGCCCGCACAAGCGGUGGAGCAUGUGGUUUAAUUCGAAGCAACGCGAAGAACCUUACCAGGUCUUGACAUCCUGCGCUACACCUAGAGAUAGGUGGUUCCCUUCGGGGACGCAGAGACAGGUGGUGCAUGGCUGUCGUCAGCUCGUGUCGUGAGAUGUUGGGUUAAGUCCCGCAACGAGCGCAACCCUUGUCUUUAGUUGCCAUCAUUAAGUUGGGCACUCUAAAGAGACUGCCGGUGACAAACCGGAGGAAGGUGGGGAUGACGUCAAGUCAUCAUGCCCCUUAUGACCUGGGCUACACACGUGCUACAAUGGGCAGUACAACGAGAAGCGAACCCGCGAGGGUAAGCGGAUCUCUUAAAGCUGUUCUCAGUUCGGACUGCAGGCUGCAACUCGCCUGCACGAAGCUGGAAUCGCUAGUAAUCGCGGAUCAGCACGCCGCGGUGAAUACGUUCCCGGGCCUUGUACACACCGCCCGUCACACCAUGGAAGUCUGCAAUGCCCAAAGUCGGUGGGAUAACCUUUAUAGGAGU